AGACACCGGUGAUUGACAGAAGGCCAUUACUACUAAAUAAAAAAUAAUCUGUAUGCAGAGCUCAGCGGGAUUCCGCUACAUAGUUGACAUGAAGGGAACAGUAUUUCUAUGUCAAAGUCACCAUGUAUUUCCCCAGGACCUGAGACAUGGAGGAAUCCAAAAUGUUUGGGUGUGAUUUUUGCCUCUCUACUUUUGAA
This is a long non-coding RNA of Syngnathoides biaculeatus (alligator pipefish), 197 nucleotides long. RefSeq lists it as uncharacterized. The transcript is spliced from 3 exons. NCBI's taxonomy places the organism in Eukaryota, Metazoa, Chordata, Actinopteri, Syngnathiformes, Syngnathidae. The record is from RefSeq and is a predicted model, not a curated record.